Molecule: long non-coding RNA, 824 nt
Filed under: Homo sapiens (human)
Lineage: Eukaryota; Metazoa; Chordata; Mammalia; Primates; Hominidae
Description: HSALNT0023772
Source: RNAcentral
GUUAAGGCCAGUAGGGCUGUGAGAUGUGAGCAAGACCAGAAGUUGGGACUAAUUGUGAAGGCCAAAUGGGUAAGGCUGGGUAGAUAAAAUCAGUUGGGUGAUUCGGGUUGGUAAGGACAUGAAGUUAAGGCCAGUAGGGUAAGGCCAGGUGGGUAAACCAGGUGCAUAAGGCCAGCAGAUUAAUGCUGAAUGAGUAAGGUCAGGAGGUUAAUAAUGCAGGUGGGUAAAUUUAUUUUGGCAAAACCAUGAUGUUAACACUGGGUCAGGAAGCCAAGCGAUUGAAAAAGCCAGAUGGGUAAAGCCAGUAAAAUUAAGGCCAUCAAGUACAGCUAGGUGGAUAACUCCAACUGGGUAAGGCUGAGAAGUUAAUGCUAGGCAGAUUAGGCUAGGAGGUUGAGGCCAUGUGACUAAGAAUGAAAGGCUAAGACCAGGUGAGAAGGCCAGGUUGGUAAGCUAUUGAGGCCAUGAGGUUAAGGCCAGAUGGGGAAGUCCAAGUGGGAAAUGUAAGGUGUGUUAAGUCCAGGUGGGGGGGGAAAUCUUGGUAAUAAGGGCAGGGAAAUAAGUCCAGGGGAGGAAACCUAGGGAGGUAAAUUAGAAAAAUAAGACUGGGGACUAAGCCCUGGUAAAUAAAACUAGAAGGUUAAGGACAGCUGUGUAAACUAAGCAUGAAACCCAUGAUGAGUAAGACUAGGUAGGAAAACUAGGUAGGUAAUCCAGGUUGCUGAGACUAUAAGGUUAAGGCCCAUAGGUUUAGGCCAGGUGUGGAAAGCUAAUGGGUUCUGGCAAGGGUGAGAAAAUGAAGUGGGUAAGGCCAGGUAUGUCAG